CUGAGUCAAUCCUCUUCUCUGCCCCCCUUUUACAUGGCCUGUAAACAACUUUCCAGAUGGGCUGACAUCUCACUGUUGAUGGAGUGCUUUGGGUGAAUAUCCUUCUGUGUUACUCCAGCAGAAGAGGUGUGUGGUACAACUGCUCUGCUUGCACAGUGGUGUGUGGGAACUUAAAGAUGGACCUAGCUGAUGACACUGUCUGGAAUCCAAAUGGAAAGAACCAGAGAAUGCAACUUUUUGUCCCAGUUUGGAGACACAAGAAAGCAUCUGAACCUCAGCACCUCUCAUUUGACAUCUUUCUGUCCACCAGACACCAUGCUGGAGCUGCUCCUACUUGCAAUUAAGGUGAAGACUGUAUCUUUUCAAGGUUUAGACAACUGAAAUUCCCUCCUUGCUGUGCUUGUAUGUAUUAUAUAAAUCUUACUCAUAGAGCCACUUAUCCAGAUUUUUCCAGAAUUGCUUCUCAUAAAAACAGUAUUUGUAAGUUACUUUUGAAGUUAUUUUUGGGAUGAAGCCAUAUGGAGCAGCAUUAAUUGUCACUGCUCCAAAUUACCAGGGAUAUUUGGGACUUUCUGUCAAAACAGUGGAAAAUGAAGCCAUUGCAGGUGUCCAUACAAACAUCCCUGGCACUUUGUUCCACAGCCCCUGCACGGUCCCAGGGAAGAUAAGCACAUAUCUGGGCACAAUUGCCAAUGCCAGGACUCACACAGAUCACACCUGAAUAUUCAUGUUUCUGAAAGCACGUAAAGAAAUCCAAUGUUGUUGCCAGCUUUGCUACUGUCUCAUACAUAAAGCUUUCAGAAAAGAAAAAGAUAGCUGAAAAUGGGCCAAUUACAAGUGCAGAGUUAACCACAUAUUAGCAUUAAUCCCUUACUAACUGUUCAAAGGCAUAUGGAAGCAUGUAUUUAUAUCAGCCUAAAUAUGAUCAGUGUUACAUCAUUUUCAGUACAAACAGUCUGAAACAUUUUUUUCUUAAUUUCUAGAUAUGUGUCCCACAAAUCUGUCUAGACUCGUCAUUGCUUGGAUGUUCUCAGUGGAAAUCAAGUGUCUUGUCCUGGGGAUAGCCGCUGUUUUAAAAGUGAUAGAUGAGGGGUUAUCAUAUCUAACGGUGAAUCUCAAAAAUUGUUUUGGUCUCCUCAGUUGUUUGAAUAACAAAAUUGCAAUUUGGAAACCAGUCUCUGAAAUAUAAAUAAUUGAGGUCUGUGUGGAAGGCAGCAAAUAGUCUACACAUUGAAAUUAGUCUGGCUGCAAUAUUGUAAAUGAUGCUACAGUGACAUCAGAAAUACACAUGGCUGGUUUAUCAUGUUCGAUGACACCUAUUUAAAAUAUGCCAGGAAAAACAAAAAUGUAAACUAAUUCUGUUUCUAGACAUAACCAUUUUUUUCUUAGGCAUGCUAAUAAUCAAGACCAUACAGGUGCUUAGGAAGUCAGAUUAAAAGUCAGUUUGCAACUGAACAACGAAGUCUCUGCAGAUUCAUUCAUGUCAGCAAUUCUUCAUUAUGGACCCACUUUAACAUUCAUCCAUGAGACAGAGAGGAUGAAUCCUGCAGAAGAAGGUGAGGUACAGUGACACACUGUAUAAGGGACGAUGCCCUACCCUGGAUUAACUACAGUAUAUCUUCAAAGAUAUAUAUCUUCAACUUCAUCACUUCUGGAUCCAGUCUUUUCAGUCUUGAUAGCUCUGAAAAUUCUCAGCAUCUUCUUCUUCCAGUCAAGAGGCUGGCAGGUGUUUAACCAUCUGGGUUACAGAGUGAGACCAUUUCACACAUUUGAUUAUUACGAUAUUGUAAUACAUCACGUUAAAAUCUUCAGAUAGAAACAAAUCCACAUAUGAUGCACACACAGCUCCAAAAAGUGGCUUUCAGCAAGUACCAGAUCUUGGUCUGUAUGCAUCACUAAGAAUUUUAUCAACCACCAACUUCUGCAGGCCACAGAUAAAUACAAAGAAAUUUAGAAUAUUUAGAAAUAUUGAAUAGUUUGUGUUAGAAGGGACUGCCCAGGUACAGAGGGGAUGGACACCCACCACUUGAGGCCACAAGCUGGGUGUUGAACAAGAUAAGGGAAAAGGCAGGCAAGAGACAAAUCCUGCAAGGUGGGAUAGUGCUUUUUAUCUUGUCGAUGUCCUUGUAUAAGGGGCUCAGGUGUGAAAACUCCCCUCUGGAAGAGUGAACUACUGGGACAUUCUCAGGUAAGCCUGAAGAUAUUCCUCCCUUCAGAUGGGCCAUAAUCAAUUCAACCAUGCUGAUGUAAGAGGCUGCAGCUGCUGGACGAGCCUUGAUCUGUGCUGCCUCUCCUGCUGAUGCCCUGCAGUGUUUUGGUGCCAGUGACAGACUCUGGGCACCAGAGUUAAUUAGCACAAGGUCCUUUUUCGUGCUCCAUCUGAAGAGAACAUCCAUGGCAAGAGGCAGCUAUAACAUCUUAGAAGGUAUCAAAGAUUCCCAAAAUGUCCCAUGAGUCACAGUAUUACAUCAUCCAAUGUAAAACUCCCUGGCGUUCCCACCUAGCCUGAGUGUAUGUUAACCCAACAGAUUUCACGUUUUGUGGGCUUCCCCCACCCCCAACAGGUCAAGACUGCAACCAUCACUUCAACGAACAAACGUCGAAAUUGCAACAACCAAGUCUCAUGGCUGGAUCCAAGGGUGGUGAUUAUGUACCUUUCUCCUCUUAUUCUUUCUUUCUUUUACCUUAUGCAUUUUCUUAAGUGUUAUUUUGAUGCUUUUGUAUUGCUACAUUUCUAAAAAAAACCAGCUGUAUUUUAAAAUAUAUAUAAUAAGCCAG
Corvus hawaiiensis (hawaiian crow) is the source of this 2778-nucleotide long non-coding RNA. RefSeq lists it as uncharacterized. The transcript has 3 exons. The record is from RefSeq and is a predicted model, not a curated record. Lineage: Eukaryota; Metazoa; Chordata; Aves; Passeriformes; Corvidae.